This 239-nucleotide ribosomal RNA is filed under the name Gekko hokouensis. RNAcentral describes it as "partial 16S ribosomal RNA". The record is from RNAcentral. Lineage: Eukaryota; Metazoa; Chordata; Lepidosauria; Squamata; Gekkonidae. RNAcentral also lists the same sequence under 1 other name.
GCCAAAAACUAGCCUGCACAACACACCAUAAAUCACUUCACACAAACUAAACCAUUUACCAAAUCCAGUAUAUGAGAUAGAACUUUAAACACAGCGCAAUAGCCCAAAUCGUACCACAAGGGAACCAUGAAAGACUAAUUAAUAACCACAAGCACAGCACAGCAGGGCUAAAGCCCCGUACCUCCUGCAUCAUGGUUUAGCCAGCAGCUCGCCGACAAAGUGCCCUGUGUCCGCCACCC